UCCCUGAUAGCUCAGUUGGUAAAGAAUCUGCUUGCAAUGCAGGAGACCCCGGUUUGAUUCCUGGGUCGGGAA
Molecule: transfer RNA, 72 nt
Filed under: Bos taurus (domestic cattle)
Lineage: Eukaryota; Metazoa; Chordata; Mammalia; Artiodactyla; Bovidae
Also listed under: 1 other name
Rfam family: tRNA
About the family: Transfer RNA (tRNA) molecules are approximately 80 nucleotides in length. Their secondary structure includes four short double-helical elements and three loops (D, anti-codon, and T loops).
Source: Rfam by way of RNAcentral